UGGAGCCCCAGCCUUGGCCUGAUCCCCGCCAGCAAAAGGGCUAACUUUGGUGGUGCGGGGAGAUGGGCCAGCAAAUGGUAAAGGUAGAAGAUGAGGUGAACAGCAGGGCAUGUGAAAAGACAGAAAGAUUAAUGGCAGGGACACAAUCAAAAACAAAAGUUAAAAUGGAAAUGUUAAUCAUUUAAAAGAGGGUCUCAGUGGAAUUACUUGCUUUAUGGCUCAGAAUAAAGAAUAGAAGGGGGAAAGAAGGAGGAGAAGUCCCAGGAAGAAUAAUUUAGUGCUUUGUGUAAUGAGCUGCCUUCCUUUUCAGUGGUUCACUCUGGUGUCUUAUCACUUACCCUGUGAUUGACUGAGUCUUCUUUUUGCCUGCUCCUGCUAAAUGGUGAUUUGCCAUCUGGAGGUUGAUGUCCCAAUGUUGCUCACCAGCGAGGAGCUCUCAGCUCCACAGAGGACCUAUGCUGGACUCCAGCUCUGCAUUGUAUUUCUAGCUCUAUCAGCUAUGGAGGGAGGCUUGAGCUUGCUGGAUACUGAAAACCUACUCAAAACCUGCUGAGGCUGAUCUGCUAAUGCCCAGUCGCUGCCCCAGCCCUCUUCUGCUGGUUGCUGGCUCCAUUUCUGCAUCCUGUGUACUUGCCUGGGCUGCCACGCUCUCAUUAUAUCUUUGUACAGCACCAGUCCUUUCCACUCUCAUUUCAGUUGCCUCCUCAAGGUGCUCCAAUAAUUCAAGUGAUAAAUAAUAACAAUAAUAAUGCAGAAGUCGUUUGAAUUGAGCUUGAUUGCUCCGUGGCUGAAUUUGGUCUUGAUUGACUGAAAGCAGCACAUGCCCCCCGCUUGUUAUCUUGAGAGCCUCAUUUUCUCAGUGCAUUGUUGCUCCUCAUAGCCUCAAACUGAUCUGGCCUCGAGGCCGCUGCCAAAAUGCAACCCUGUCGUUCCCAGAAAGACCCCACUCUGCAGCAUAAUGUGAAUUUACACAUAUAAUGAGGCAGAAAAUGACAGAAAAUAUCCCACUUCUGUACGGUGCCAAAGGAGCUGUGUGUUCCCCUGUUUUCUGGGCAGACUCACUGUUUCCGAGGGGGAAGAUGCUUGGUGGAGGCCUUGGGGAAAGAUUGAUUGUUGCUGGUUAAACUGACUGCACCAUACAUUUCCAAAUAUUUGAACUGGGAACUGCCUACACCACUUGUUUGUUGGGUUGAAUUGGAAAGACAGACAAGCAGCCUCUAAAUGAGGUAUAAUUUAAUGAAUACUCAUUGAACUGCUGGACAUCAGCCUCUCCUCAGCUCUGCUCCUGUGCACUUGUGAGUGUUCCUACUGUUGGUCUACACUGUGCUUCCAAGGAAGAUGCUUAUCUCAGCUAUGAGUGAGGGCAUUUGAUGGCACCUUAGAAUCAUAGAAUCAUUAAGGUUGGAAAAGACCACUAAGAUCAUCCAGUCCAACUAUCCACUCAUCACCACCAUGCCCACUAAAACCUCUUUUGAGCCCAAGGAAGAAAAGGAGCAAAUGAUCAUUGAGAGGCAGAGGCUAUGUUUCUCCUGGCUUAAUGUGGAUGAAUGAAGAAAGAGGAGGGAAAGAAAACAACUCAUUUUCACUCCUUCUCUAAGCAGCAGCCACUGUAGUGCUAUAGCCGGGAGCAUCCGAGAGAGACAGAAGGAAUUCGAGUAACAAGAAAAUUCUGCUGUACAGACCUAAUUAUAGCGAUCGCACCUGUUAGAGAAAACAAUAAGCAGCAAAAUGAAUAAACCUUCCUGGGACUCAUUUUAUCA
RNAcentral lists this long non-coding RNA (1760 nucleotides) under Numida meleagris (helmeted guineafowl). Its description in RNAcentral is "lncRNA (ENSNMEG00000020213.1)". The record is from RNAcentral. Lineage: Eukaryota; Metazoa; Chordata; Aves; Galliformes; Numididae.